RNAcentral lists this ribosomal RNA (253 nucleotides) under uncultured bacterium. RNAcentral's name for it is "partial 16S ribosomal RNA". It matches the Rfam family "Bacterial small subunit ribosomal RNA", at positions 524 to 776 of the family's 1533-position model. The record is from RNAcentral.
UACGUAGGGUGCGAGCGUUGUCCGGAAUUAUUGGGCGUAAAGGGCUCGUAGGCGGUUUGUCGCGUCGGGAGUGAAAACCCAGGGCUUAACCCUGGGCUGGCUUUCGAUACGGGCAGACUAGAGGUAUGCAGGGGAGAACGGAAUUCCCGGUGUAGCGGUGAAAUGCGCAGAUAUCAGGAGGAACACCGGUGGCGAAGGCGGUUCUCUGGGCAUUACCUGACGCUGAGGAGCGAAAGUGUGGGGAGCGAACAGG